Molecule: ribosomal RNA, 841 nt
Filed under: Shigella flexneri
Lineage: Bacteria; Pseudomonadati; Pseudomonadota; Gammaproteobacteria; Enterobacterales; Enterobacteriaceae
Description: partial 23S ribosomal RNA
Rfam family: Bacterial large subunit ribosomal RNA
Source: RNAcentral
GGGUUGUGAGGUUAAGCGACUAAGCGUACACGGUGGAUGCCCUGGCAGUCAGAGGCGAUGAAGGACGUGCUAAUCUGCGAUAAGCGUCGGUAAGGUGAUAUGAACCAUUAUAACCGGCGAUUUCCGAAUGGGGAAACCCAGUGUGAUUCGUCACACUAUCAUUAACUGAAUCCAUAGGUUAAUGAGGCGAACCGGGGGAACUGAAACAUCUAAGUACCCCGAGGAAAAGAAAUCAACCGAGAUUCCCCCAGUAGCGGCGAGCGAACGGGGAGCAGCCCAGAGCCUGAAUCAGUGUGUGUGUUAGUGGAAGCGUCUGGAAAGGCGUGCGAUACAGGGUGACAGCCCCGUACACAAAAAUGCACAUAUUGUGAGCUCGAUGAGUAGGGCGGGACACGUGGUAUCCUGUCUGAAUAUGGGGGGACCAUCCUCCAAGGCUAAAUACUCCUGACUGACCGAUAGUGAACCAGUACCGUGAGGGAAAGGCGAAAAGAACCCCGGCGAGGGGAGUGAAAAAGAACCUGAAACCGUGUACGUACAAGCAGUGGGAGCACGCUUAGGCGUGUGACUGCGUACCUUUUGUAUAAUGGGUCAGCGACUUAUAUUCUGUAGCAAGGUUAACCGAAUAGGGGAGCCGAAGGGAAACCGAGUCUUAACUGGGCGUUAAGUUGCAGGGUAUAGACCCGAAACCCGGUGAUCUAGCCAUGGGCAGGUUGAAGGUUGGGUAACACUAACUGGAGGACCGAACCGACUAAUGUUGAAAAAUUAGCGGAUGACUUGUGGCUGGGGGUGAAAGGCCAAUCAAACCGGGAGAUAGCUGGUUCUCCCCGAAAGCUAUUUAGGU